UACAGAGGUGCCGAGCGUUAGGCGGAAUCACUGGGCUUAAAGCGUGUGUAGGCGGAUCUGUAAGUACCUUGUGAAAUCCCACGGCUCAACCGUGGAACUGCUUGGUAUACUGCGGGUCUUGAGCCACCUAGGGGCAAGUGGAACAAACGGUGGAGCGGUGAAAUGCGUAGAUAUCGUGUGGAACGCCAAUGGUGAAAACAACUUGCUGGGGGUGUGCUGACGCUGAGACACGAAAGCCAGGGGAGCAAACGGG
RNAcentral lists this ribosomal RNA (253 nucleotides) under uncultured bacterium. Its description in RNAcentral is "partial 16S ribosomal RNA". It matches the Rfam family "Bacterial small subunit ribosomal RNA", at positions 524 to 776 of the family's 1533-position model. The record is from RNAcentral.